This 41-nucleotide small RNA is filed under the name Arabidopsis thaliana (thale cress). RNAcentral's name for it is "ATSL273770". Lineage: Eukaryota; Viridiplantae; Streptophyta; Magnoliopsida; Brassicales; Brassicaceae. The record is from RNAcentral.
GUUCAUAUAUUUCAUGUAACCGUCUCUUUUAUUAAUCGCAA